UUCACAAAAUCACAAAAUCUUCAAUUGGCCAUAUCUUUUUCGUUUCUUAAUGGAAUUGAGCGAUUCUCGUGGCCACGUAACGAGGAAAGGAUCUUCUACUAGAUUAUGGCUUCAAUUUGAGGUGAUUAGGAGCAUGAAUGAAGGAUUUUGAGGAUGAAAUUGAUGGUAAACCUUUGGCUUAGUGUCACCAACCAAGGUAGUGACAAGCUACGGAUUUGACGAUUUUGGCUUAGAGAGUUCGGCCAAGACAAAGGAAUGAUGAAGAUUGGAUAGCGAGGUUGUUUGCUUUCAGGUACCUAGACUCUGGACUUGGCUAGAAGUCCAUUCUUUGAUCUGAAGUAAAUCUUGACGUGUGAAGUCCAGACUUCCGUAGUUGCUGCAGUAGUGUCUUGUCUGACCAGAGUUGUGGUCAAGUACAACUUUUUGAUACGUCGGUUUUCAUUUGAUGUCUUUGUAGUUAUAUAUGUUUUAUACACGGAAGGUGAAUACCCUUGAUGAUAUGGUUUUAAACACUAUUAUGUAUCGGGCUAGUACGUACAUGAUACGGAAACAGUAAGCCCAAGUAUUUUGUAUCAAUAAGUUACUAGUGUAUAAAGAUGAGUAUAUGUAUAUGCUUCCGCUAUGAUUCCAAUGUA
Molecule: long non-coding RNA, 635 nt
Organism: Mercurialis annua (annual mercury)
Lineage: Eukaryota; Viridiplantae; Streptophyta; Magnoliopsida; Malpighiales; Euphorbiaceae
Exons: 4
Source: RefSeq, a predicted model, not a curated record